Long non-coding RNA from Poecile atricapillus (Black-capped chickadee), 560 nucleotides. RefSeq lists it as uncharacterized. The record is from RefSeq and is a predicted model, not a curated record. The transcript is spliced from 2 exons. Lineage: Eukaryota; Metazoa; Chordata; Aves; Passeriformes; Paridae.
GGGAGGCGCGGCUGGGCUGAGCCUUUCAAUCAGGAAACGCUGGAUCCCAGCUGGGACUUCGGGAAAUGCGGCUGCUCCUCCCCAAUUAGCAGAGAAGCCACCAAACACCUUCUCGUGUCUAACCUUGUACCACCUGCAGCUGCUGGCAGCAACAAAAGCCUUUCAAACACCGUGAGGAAGACAAAAGAAACGCGUGUCUGAUGCAGAAAACAUUCAGGGCUUCCCCAGACAGAGGAGUUUAUUCAGUGUUUGUUCAGGCUCUGCUCACCCCAGGACAACAAAAUCAUUCUGAGCAGGCUUUGCACAAUGGGUGGCUUCAAAGUCUCGCUUUUGUGGCCUCUGAAGGAUCCAGUUUAAUUUAUUUUCUCAGCAGAAGGACUCUGUUACCAAUCCCACACCUCACCAACAGCCUAAGGCAUGGUUCUUGUCAGUAAACAACAUGAAAAUGCAUUUAUUCUGCUGUAUGUCUUCACACCAAGCAAAAAAAAAAAGGCAUCUUAUCUCAAUGUGUCACAUUUAAAUCAGAGGCAAUAGUUAAUGAGGUAUUCCACAGAAUCAUU